RNAcentral lists this transfer RNA (77 nucleotides) under Acinetobacter bereziniae. RNAcentral's name for it is "tRNA-Arg". It matches the Rfam family "tRNA". Rfam says of the family: Transfer RNA (tRNA) molecules are approximately 80 nucleotides in length. Their secondary structure includes four short double-helical elements and three loops (D, anti-codon, and T loops). Further hydrogen bonds mediate the characteristic L-shaped molecular structure. tRNAs have two regions of fundamental functional importance: the anti-codon, which is responsible for specific mRNA codon recognition, and the 3' end, to which the tRNAs corresponding amino acid is attached (by aminoacyl-tRNA synthetases). tRNAs cope with the degeneracy of the genetic code in two manners: having more than one tRNA (with a specific anti-codon) for a particular amino acid; and 'wobble' base-pairing, i.e. permitting non-standard base-pairing at the 3rd anti-codon position. The record is from RNAcentral. RNAcentral also lists the same sequence under 1 other name. Lineage: Bacteria; Pseudomonadati; Pseudomonadota; Gammaproteobacteria; Moraxellales; Moraxellaceae.
GCGCCAUUAGCUCAACUGGAUAGAGCACUGCACUUCUAUUGCAUUGGUUACAGGUUCGAAUCCUGUAUGGCGUGCCA